This 3191-nucleotide long non-coding RNA is filed under the name Mytilus galloprovincialis (Mediterranean mussel). Lineage: Eukaryota; Metazoa; Mollusca; Bivalvia; Mytilida; Mytilidae. The record is from RNAcentral.
CUUAUAUUUUAUUGUAAAAAAAAGUUAAAUCAUAUGUUACGAUUCAACCUAUAUGACUUUGCUUUUUUCUACUUUAAAUGAAAAUAUCUAAUUUAAGAAGUAUGUAUCUCACUACUAUAGAACGAACAAUACUGUAGUAUAAAUAGACAGAGCUCGUCAGCAGCCUCUAUCCUUUUCCACGAAAACACUGCAUUGUUAUCAGACUAUAUUGUAUAGGUAAACCGGUUUUGUAGGUUUUUAAAAGUGAUUUUUUUACGACACAAUGCUUUUAUGUUUCAUGUUGCAUGUUAUCUUUUCAUUCUCGUAUGUGUCCUCAAAUUACAUGACUUUUGAAUACUUGAAUAUUAAAUGGUUGUAACUGAGCAUGACAUAGCCUAGAAAAAAAUAAAUCUACAAAUAUAUAUACUAUUUAGUCUUGAAGACACAAAACCAGUCUUAUAAUUUGGUACACCAAACAUGCGUUUUUGCCUUUACAAGACUCUGAAUCAUCAGUGCCGAUGGAAUCAAAAUAUUUAAAAUCAAAUUAAUUGACAAAUAGAAGAGCAUUGAAAGACAAAAAUUCCAAAAUGUUUUCAAAAUUUGACUUCAAAAAUGUAUGCAUGGAACAGAAAAGAAAAGUGUUUUGAAUGAUUUAAAAGCAAAAAUUAACAAUAAAAGUUAAUUUAGUGAAACGAAAUGGCCAAUGUCAAAGAUAGUUUAUGUCAGGAGAGGAAAGAUCACUAUUAAGGCGGUGAUAUUACCCACGGGGGAUAUCAAACUUGCAAAACUAACCACAUCCUUUAUCGUGAAGAAGACAAAAAAAAAUGGAAAAAGAAUGCGAAAUUAUCAAACCUAACCACAUUCUGUUUCACAAAGUUAAUACGUUUUAGAGGUAGUUUUAUUUCGCUAUUUCAAAAAUUAUUUAAAACAUAAAAAAGGUAAAGAGGGGAAAGGUUAUCAAAUAUUUUUCAAAAUUUUCACCUGAACUUCCUCAGUUAAAGGAAUUGAAGGCGGAUACGUUUUGAAAUAUUGUUUGAAUAUUUAAUAAAUCAAAACAAAAAGGAGUUUUUAGAAAAUAAGGAAACUCAAAAUCUACCGCAUGUAGGUAAGGAAGUAGUUUAACUUUGUCUUAAUAAAUAUUAGAUAUUAUGAGUGACGAAAUAACAACUUGUUUAAACAUACCAUUGACACUAAGAAAAAAAUGUGGUAUAUAUAUAUCAACGAAACAGCAGUCCAACAGCUCAAAUAAAAAAGAACCAAUCAAGUAUUUGGUACUCCUGUUACCCUUUAUUUGUUGUAACAUAGGUUAAUAUUAAGCAUUCAAAAGGGUGUCAUUACAAUAGGUCAAUCUCUAAAUCGUUCGGAAACUAAGAUAAGUUGUAAACAAAACACCGACUCGCAUUUUUGAUCUGUAGACUAACAAAGGUACACUUAAUUUGAUCAAAUACCUAUCAGUACUGUACAUGUAAUAUACAAAUGGUUUUAAACUAAAAAAAUUGAAGCAAAACAAUUUUUGUAAUUGAUUUACCAUUUUUUCUAUUCUUGCUGGAUUUCACGUUUAUAGAUCGUUCAUCUCUCUAUAACUCAAAAAAUAAAAUGACAAUUUUAUUAUUGCAUUCAAAUCAACGAAAUAGAGGAACGAUAUCAAAGGGAUAUCAUAACUCAUAAGUCUAGAACAAACUGACAAAGCCAUGGAAGCCUUUAACCCCAGAAAUGUUUUUCAAAUAAUAUGCAAAUAAUGCACUAUAGUUUGAAUUCCCGUAGAGCAUAACCCUUCCAUAAAAAUAUCCAUCUAUUUGAAAAAAGCAGAAAAAAAUCAUAUAAUUACAACAUGAAAUCAAAGAUCUUUCUACAAAUUUGGCGAUGUUUUGACCACUUUAGUAUAGUUAAGUCGAAUAGUUAUCAAAAAGUAACAGGCUUAUAAUUUAGUACGCUAGACGUGCGUUUCGACUACAUAAGACUCAUCUGUCGAAAACAGACUGACAAUGCCAGAAAGACGACAAGACAAACACAAUAAACUAAAGACUGAGCAAUAUUAACCCCACCGUAAAUCGGAUUGAUCUCAGGUGCUCCCUAAUGAUAAGCAGAUUCUGUUUCACAAGCGAAGUUAAAUACAAUUUUGCUGCUUUAGGAACAAUUUAUGAACUUUUAAUUAUAUUUCUAAACGUUGCAUUACUUAGUGAUGUACACUUAUCAUUAUACCUCAUAUGAUUCAAAAAUUAACUGAGUGAUAAUGUUUAAACAACACUUGAUCACAUAGGUGGAAUAAGGUAUUAUGCAAACUAGCACGAUUAAAAUUUAGAUUAGAACCAAAUUAAAAAAGAUAAGAUCACUAAUAUAAACCAUGUUUUGACUAUUCAGAUACAUGUAUAAGACUAAGGCAAAGAAAAGAUAAACAUCUCAUAACAUUUAAGAUAUUUUAAAUUAUAUCAAACAUAUUAAGGCUUAUUGAAGACAUUCGAUUUAACAAGUACAUAUAAAUGGUACGAUAUAUUAAAGGCGGGUCUACGUCUGGUUUACAUAAUAGAGAGUAAUUAUAAGCAAAUAUCAUGGUAAAAUGGUUUGAAAAAUUAAAGAAUAGCAAACUGAUGAAAUCCUCCCCCUAAAAAGAAAUAAAAUAAAAUAUAGAAAAAGAUAAACACAAAAAUAAAUAGAGAUUUAACGGUCAAAGUAUACAAAUAUAUAGAGAAUAUAGCAUUAUAAUUAAUUCAAGAAUACAGAAAUGCUGACCAUCAUCAAGACCCCCAUAUAUAGUAUUAAUGCAGGUACCAGCCCAAUCCGGAAUAUAUAUUUGAAUAUAAAGAGCUUAGUAGGUAUUAUGAUAGUUUUUUGCACAUUUGAUAAGUUUCAUUACUAUAAUUAGCUUUUUAAAACUACGUCUUACUCAACUGAAUAACCUGGAUUCGUUCCAAAACUUUUAUGUAAAUGAUUUUAAAAAUGAAACCCCUUUUUAUUUACAUUGUAUGUAUUGAAUGAAUGGAAACGAGUGAUGCAUACAUUACAACAAACAACUGUGCCCGUACUUCCUUGUCGUUUAAAUAAUUAUAAGUUAUUAAAAAAUUGUAUUUAGAAAAUAUUUAAAGAUUUACGACGCAAAUCAGAAAAAUCUAAUUCAGUUCAAUUCAAUUCAAUAUUUUAUUUUAGUCUCGUAUCUCAAAAACAUACAACACAGAAUUAAAUUAAAUACAUAUUAUAAAUAUAUAAUAGAGAGC